AGUGAACGCUGGCGGUAGGCCUAACACAUGCAAGUCGAACGGCAGCACAGUAAGAGUUUGCUCUUACGGGUGGCGAGUGGCGGACGGGUGAGGAAUACAUCGGCAUCUUCUUUUUCGUGGGGGAUAUCGUAGGGAAACUUACGCUAAUACCGCAUACGUCCUACGGGUGAAAGCAGGGGUUCUUCGGACUUUGCGCGAUUGAUUGAGCCGAUGUCGGAUUAGCUAGUUGGCUGGGUAAAGGCCCACCAAGGCGACGAUCCGUAGCUGGUCUGAGAGGAUGAUCAGCCACACUGGAACUGAGACACGGUCCAGACUCCUACGGGAGGCAGCAGUAGGGAAUAUUGGACAAUGGGCGCAAGCCUGAUCCAGCCAUACCGCGUGGGUGAAGAAGGCCUUCGGGUUGUAAAGCCCUUUUGUUGGGAAAGAAAAGCAGCAGGUUAAUACCCCGCUGUUCUGACGGUACCCAAAGAAUAAGCACCGGCUAACUUCGUG
Molecule: ribosomal RNA, 492 nt
Filed under: uncultured bacterium
Lineage: Bacteria
Description: partial 16S ribosomal RNA
Rfam family: Bacterial small subunit ribosomal RNA
Source: RNAcentral